RNAcentral lists this ribosomal RNA (253 nucleotides) under uncultured bacterium. Its description in RNAcentral is "partial 16S ribosomal RNA". It matches the Rfam family "Bacterial small subunit ribosomal RNA", at positions 524 to 776 of the family's 1533-position model. The record is from RNAcentral.
UACGAAGGGGGCAAGCGUUUUCCGGAAUUAUUGGGCGUAAAGCGCGCGCAGGCGGCUAGUUAAGUCAGAUGUGAAAGGCUGCGGCUCAACCGCAGAGCUGCAUCUGAAACUGAUUAGCUUGAGUGCAGGAGAGGAUAGUGGAAUUCCCGGUGUAGCGGUGGAAUGCGUAGAGAUCGGGAGGAACACCAGUGGCGAAGGCGACUGUCUGGACUGUAACUGACGCUGAGGAGCGAAAGCGUGGGGAGCAAACAGG